Felis catus (domestic cat) is the source of this 3602-nucleotide long non-coding RNA. RefSeq lists it as uncharacterized. The record is from RefSeq and is a predicted model, not a curated record. NCBI's taxonomy places the organism in Eukaryota, Metazoa, Chordata, Mammalia, Carnivora, Felidae. The transcript is spliced from 2 exons.
UCGAACCCACGGACCGCGAGAUCGUGACCUGAGCCGAAGUCGGCCGCUUAACCAACUGAGCCACCCAGGUGCCCCUGUUUCAUCUUUUAAAUAGGAACCAUCAGUAAAUCACAAAAAAUGUGCAUUCGUUAGAGGAGUUUCCUGUACCUUUUUCUAUGUGGAGUCAAAAGGUAAUUUGUCAAGCAUUAGGCAGUCAUGAGGGAUUUUGACUGGGUCCAAAUGUAGUCCUUGUUUUGAGAUCAGAUCCCUAAAUAUCAAACUUGAAUGAGCAAACUGCAAGUUUUCUGGGAGGCUUUAUGUUUCUUUAAGGUGAAAAGUUUUUGUUUAAGUAGGCUUCAUGCCCAGCACGGAGCCCAGUUCGGGGCUCGAACUCACGAGCUGGGAUCAAGAGUUGGGCACUUAACCAGCUGAGCACCAAGGCAGCCCUUUAAGGCCACACGGUUUAACACAGGAGUGCUGUCUGUCCUGUGAAAGGGGAGCAGAGAAGCUAAGCCGUCUCCAUUAGUCAGAAAGUAGACAACUUUUGUAGACAACUUUAUAUCCUCCAAAUCCGCCUAGAAGGUUUAUGAAAGGUUAAGAGAGACUAUGAAACCCUGAGGCAUGACUGGAUGUAUUUCAGUUCUCAAGAGAAAGCAAAAAAAGAUACUGGCUCUCUGUAUCACCUGGAAUACUAAAAAUACCCUGCACAGAUGGAUUCCAGUGAAAAACUAGCUUUCGUUGGGGAGGGCCGUCAGGAACAUAUACGGGAGUUAGGGACCAUGGAGGGCUGAAGGAUACCGAUGUUACUACUAACACAGGGGACAAUGAGGCUGUGGGCCUUGGGAUUGCUGUGGGCUUCACACUUCUUAAAGGGCUUCUUUAUUUAGAGGGUAUGGAUUAAUUCUAGUGAGGGGUUUUGAUGGGCAUUUAAAGAUCUUCUAACUCGUCAGGUUGGCUAUUUCGAUUACUAGAAGUCAAAUUCUAGAAUUAUUCCUGCAUUUGGGAGAAAGAAAUUACAGGCGAUACUUCCGUGAGAAAUCUUGGCACAAUACACAGACGGGAGCAAGGAACUCAGGAGAAAAGAGUGCAUCUCUCGAAGGGCCUAGAGAAAAGGGAAUAGGUUCAGAGACGGGAACCUGUUGGGGUCAUUAUUAGAUAUGCUACUCAAGCUGUUUUCUUGCUCUGAGGCCGGGGCUGCCUCCCAGCAGCAGAGUCUAAGAGUAGCUCCGUGGUCCCAGUAGGGAGAGUGGUUCCUCCGCGGCGAUUAGGAGAGGUGAUGGGAAAGAGCCUUGGUAACUUCUCAGAGCCCGGUCAUUGGGAAUUUGGAAGACGUUGGAAAGACUGACUGGCGGGCUAGGGGUGCAUGGAGCACUUUGAUUAGUGACAGUCUUUUUUCCAGUGACCUGGCUCUUUGCAACCAUAGCAGAAACUAGAAGGUUUUUGGUUUUGUUCCUUCAGUUGUUGGAGUGGAGCACUGAGAAUUUUACGGUCUUCCUUGCAGGUAGCAAGUGUGCCGAUUUGUCAGAUUAAAUCUGGAGGGGACAUAGUUUCCCAUCCCAUCAUGGUCCUUUUAACUAAAGGAGAAAGAUCCUGGUUGAUAAACAUAGAGUUCGGUGCUAGCCUGGUGGAUUCAACAUUUAAAGACCGGAAACUUUUUUUUUUUUUUUUUUUUUUUUUUGAGAGAGAGAGAGAGAGAGUGUGAAAGCAUGAGCAGGGGAGAGAGCGGAGGGGGAGGGAGAGGCUCCGUGCUUGGCUUGGAACCUGACAAAGGGCUAAGCCCAAAGGUACUGAUUAAAAUAGGUUUUUGUUUUGUUUUGUUUUGUUUUCUAUAAGCCAUGUUUUUUCAAUUUAAUUUUGAGAGAAACAAGUUUGGGGAGAACAAAGGUUACCCAUAAUGCCCAUUGAAGUUCUAAAUUACCUUUUUAGUUUUUGACAAUGCCCUUGUGCGGUUGGGGGGAGGAACAGAGGGAGUGAAUCUUAAGCAGGCACCAUGCCCAGCAUGGAGCCCCACUUGGGGCUCGAUCUCAUGACCCUGACUGAGAUUAUGCCUGAGCCAAAGUUGAGUCGGAUGCCUGACCGACUGAGCCACCCAGGCGCCCCUAAAUUGCUUUAGAUUGAGUCCAUCCACUUUGUUAGAAAUGCAUAUGAGGAGGGACCCCAGUAGGGCUGGGCACCCUCAAGGCACUUUGAUGACUGAGAUCCCGUUUCUGAGUUGUUUUUUUCCUUUAGAGCAGAAAGAAAAAAAAAAAAAUUAACAGUUUCAACAGGAAAAGCCUACUUCCAGGAGGAAUCGGUAUAAAGGCCUGCACAGUUCCAAUAGGAGAGCCCAGUUUCAAAAGAAUUAGACUUGAGGCCACUGUUUCAAGAGGGACCGUCUAGUUCUGAAAGUGAGUCAGCCCAAAGGCUAACACAGUCUUAAUGGGAACAGUCCCAAUUCCAAACACGAGUGGAACCGAAGGCCCAAGGGACACUUGCAGAAAGGACAAAGCCUUUAAACCCAUCCCGAAGAAAGCCUGGAGACCUCAGGAAGCUGGGGCUCGAAAUCGGGGAGAAAGCAUAGCUUCAAACUCCAGGAGCAGCAAGAAAGACGUGGGCUCGGUGGUUUCCGUGGGUAUUGGCAUAUUUGCUCACCAGCCUCAGAAUUGUUGAGGCGGUCUCAGGAUCUGACUUCUGACACCAGAUAAUAUUAACCUCGACUAUAAAACGGCCAGCUAUCUUACCAGCAAGAAAGGAUUUAUCUGAGACUAGAGAAUUCGGGAGAAGCACGCUCCGGCAAAGCCAUGGUAUGCAUUGCGAAUAGAGACCUAGCCGGGAACGAGUCUCCUUGACCGUGUCCGAGUAAGUAAUGCGAACUGUAUUUUCUAGGAUCUGUGGCCUUUAUGGUUUCAUGGCAGAACUUACCAAAGCCUAACAUCCACGAAACUUGGAAUGCAGAAGCGAAAUAGGAUUCAGUCAGGUUUUGGAGUCAUCUGUGUAGAAGGAGACAGAAGGAUAGGGCUUUCUGGACGCUUGUUUCCAGCCUGUUUUCCUCAUUCUUUGUGAUGCCCGUCAAUAUUCCCAACCCGCCACCAACUACUAGACUUCCAUCUGACCCCGAGCAGUAGGCUUCUCCAGUUGUCUCCACUGUCCGACUUUGAAGAGCCAGCACAGUCGAGAUUUCCUGCGAUCCGUCAUGUGCCCACCUGGAAACAGAUUUCUACCAUCACGGGUUGCGUGUUCUACUCCCCUCUUCCCUAGAUCCGGUUCAUACAAGGUCGAAUUUGUGUAGUAAACACCUGUUGUGUUAAUACGGCGAGUGUCCGUCUGCGUGUUCCUGAUUGCAGUAUGACGGCCACACGGGUGCCGUCCAGAAGAAUUACGUGAGACUUUAUCCUUCUGCUCUGUGCAGCGACCGCUGUGACCCAGAUCUUCCCUCUGAAACCUGGCACGUUCCUCGUUACCGGCAGAUUCCGGGUGUUUUGCGUCGCUUCUCGCGUAAUCCCUCAGUAGGUUUUCAGUUAAGUUGAAUUCUGUGUGAUUAAAAGUACACGCAUUCCCCCCCCCCCCCCAAUGAAUGCUUCUAUAGUUUUCCUUUGAAAUAUUUUAUUAAAAGGUCCCAUUGAUUUAAGGAUCUUCAGAUCAAA